Non-coding RNA from Acanthosepion pharaonis, 112 nucleotides. The record is from the annotation of a GenBank genome assembly. Lineage: Eukaryota; Metazoa; Mollusca; Cephalopoda; Sepiida; Sepiidae.
AUGGCCACAUCACAUUGAAACACCAGUUCCUGUACAAUCACUGAAGUUAAGCAAUGUUGAGUCUGGUCAGUACCUAGAUGGGUGACCACUUGAGAAUACCAGGUAUUGUAAG